This 443-nucleotide small RNA is filed under the name Pan troglodytes (chimpanzee). RNAcentral's name for it is "processed transcript". The record is from RNAcentral. Lineage: Eukaryota; Metazoa; Chordata; Mammalia; Primates; Hominidae.
GGAACCAAAGAAGCUCCGGGAGAUCCGGGUGUUAAAAGCUGGUUGGAUAAGGGAUGGAAACCCUAUUUUCUUUUCUCCAAGACCAUGGUUGGUCUGCUUCCCUCACUCGGGCUCCUUGACAGUCUUCUAGAAGAGAGGAGGAGGAAAAGAAGCAGUUCCUGAUGUUACAAAUGAACAAGGAUCUCCCAGAACUAUGACUCAAUCAUAAAAUCUGUUUUGUUUGCAUGCAUGCCCAAAACAACCCUAUAGGUAGAACAUUAUCAUUAUCUCUGUUUUAGAGAUGAGGAAACAGGCUCAGAGAAGCUCAGAAAUUUGUUCAAGAUCGCACAGCUAGUAAAUGGCAGAAGUAGGAUUGUGAACCCAGGGAAUCUCCAGAGCCUCUGUGUAACCAUGAUAUUAUAUUUUUUUCCUCUUUAAAAACAAAAUUAAAAACCUUGCUAUAA